Molecule: ribosomal RNA, 435 nt
Filed under: uncultured bacterium
Lineage: Bacteria
Description: bacterial SSU rRNA
Rfam family: Bacterial small subunit ribosomal RNA
Source: RNAcentral
GGGAGGCAGCAGUAAGGAAUAUUGCGCAAUGGGCGAAAGCCUGACGCAGCGACGCCGCGUGAGGGAAGAAGGUCUUCGGAUUGUAAACCUCUUUUCUUAGGGAAGAAUAAUGACGGUACCUGAGGAAUAAGUCACGGCUAACUACGUGCCAGCAGCCGCGGUAAUACGUAGGUGGCUAGCGUUAUCCGGAUUUACUGGGCGUAAAGAGGGUGCAGGUGGUUCUUCAAGUCGGUUAUAAAAUCUCUCGGCUUAACUGAGAGGGACUGGCCGAUACUGUUGGACUAGAGAGUAGCAGAGGGAGAUGGAAUUCCCGGUGUAGUGGUGAAAUGCGUAGAUAUCGGGAGGAACAUCAGUGGCGAAAGCGGUCUCCUAGGCUAUUUCUGACACUGAGGCCCUAAAGCGUGGGGAGCAAACAGGAUUAGAUACCCUGGUAGG